RNAcentral lists this ribosomal RNA (620 nucleotides) under Fusi cf. nyujwa IBE AF67. RNAcentral describes it as "partial 16S ribosomal RNA". The stretch from base 384 to 542 matches the Rfam family "Bacterial large subunit ribosomal RNA", at positions 2473 to 2632 of the family's 2925-position model. The record is from RNAcentral. Lineage: Eukaryota; Metazoa; Arthropoda; Insecta; Coleoptera; Leiodidae.
GUCUUAUUGAUUAUAAUUUUAAGUCUAAUCUGCCCAAUGAUAUUUAUUAAAUGGCUGCAGUAUCUUAACUGUACAAAGGUAGCAUAAUAAUUUGUCCUUUAAUUAAGGACUGGAAUGAAUGAUUGAACGAGAUAAUAUCUGUCUCUUUUUAAAUAUUAGAAUUUUAUUUUUAAGUUAAAAAGCUUAAAUUUAUUUAAAAGACGAGAAGACCCUAUAGAGUUUUAUAUAUUAUUAUAAUUUUAAUAUUAGAAUUUUAAUUUUAUUUUUUUUAUAAUAUAUUUAAUUGGGGUGAUUAAAAAAUUUAUAAAACUUUUUUUUAUUAUUUACAUUAAUUUAUGGUUAAUUGAUCCAAUUUUUUGAUUAAAAGAUUAAAUUACCUUAGGGAUAACAGCGUAAUUUUUUUUAAGAGUUCUAAUCGAAAAGAAAGAUUGCGACCUCGAUGUUGGAUUAAAAUUAAUUUUUGGCGUAGCAGUUAAAAAAUUAGGUCUGUUCGACCUUUAAAAUUUUACAUGAUCUGAGUUUAAAUCGGCGUGAGCCAGGUUGGUUUCUAUCUUUAAUCCAAUAAUAUAUUUUAGUACGAAAGGACCAAGUAUUUAUAAUAAUUAUUAUAAAUUGAAUAU